CCGCACCGGGCCUAAAAGCUGCAUGGUUCAAAGCGUGGGAAAAAAGUAGCGGCUUAUAGUCUGAAAAAUGCGGUUAAUUCAAAGAAUUGGGGAACGUAUUUCAUUUUGAAAUCAAGUUCUCAGAGUUUGGUAGAAGAGUGGAGAGGCACAGAUUCCCCACUGCUUGAAGUUCAGUGUAAAUAUUCAGGAGUGAUUUGGUGUUGGUCCACAGUAAACUUCAAUCAAUGACCAGCUUUUAGACAGAAUGUUUGGUUUUCAUUAUCUGGAAGCCUUGAUCAUCAAGAGUAUAAGGCUUGACAUAUUUCACUAUUUGUAAUAAAUCUGCAUAGUAUACAAGUUUCACUAUCUGAAAUAAGUGACAAAAAAAUUGUAAGUUUUUUUUUUAUUUUUACAAUAUAUCAAAAUAUUAUGGCAUGAACCUGUACAGUGUAUGAGAACUUCAGGUUUCAGUUGUAAUUCUGAAGUGGCAUAAUGGACUGUUUCUCCUCCGGCUUCAUCUACUGUCAUGGUUUUCUGCUUUACUGUCAACAGAAUGUUUUGUUCUGUUUUUCUCCAAAUUUCAGAUUGACAGGAACGACAGCACAGAGUGAAUGGAAAAUUUCUGGAUUGCGCACGAGCAGAGAGGCAUACAAACAUAACUCAAGGAAUCAUGUUGGAGGUGCACAUGUCUGGCUGGAUAUGUUUUUAUAACAUGCAAACAAAAAAACGUCAAUCCCUGAGGUGGAUUUUUUUUUCAGUUCAGCUUUUAAAACAAAUGUGUUUUGCUAGUGUAUUUUAGUGAAAUAAAGGGCUACAGACUUUGUAAUAAGUGAAACAGGACGAAUAGAUUUAGGCGGAAUUUUAUUACUUAUUAGAUUUAUAUGGAUUUGUUCCACAUACCACAAUUCAUCUUGACUGAAAACUAAGUGAAAGUAAAUCCUAACGAGUCCAGACAUGGAUAUUAAAGAUGGCUUAAGUGCAUUGUUGGAAUUUUGUCUGAUCUGUGUUGCCUUUUGGGAGGAGGGGGGUAACAAGACUGACUGGCUCAUUCGUCCGCGGUGUCUCUUUCCUUGAACACAAGUGUGGGCAUGUUCACAUAUCAAACCUAUCUGUUUCACGACUUUCGUUCUGUGCAGGUCAGCCAACUCCAGAGCUCCCUCUUCCCCAUGCCGUUUCAGAGCUGCCGCACCCCCUCCUGUCGCAUUCCAGCUUCAGCAGCCCCGAGAGAGCUGUAACACUGGGAAAGCUUUACCCCAGCAGUCAAGGCUGUUCGUGGUCAAGCGCCGCUGUGACACGAGAGAGCUCAGAUCGUCUGUCAUUCUGUCUGCAGGCGACACAGUACACCCAUCACUGUCUGUCUGACACCACAGCUGUGAUACAAUCUCGUCUUCUCUGUGUGGUUCCAGUCUGCCGGUGCAGAUGGACGCAGGGAGGGGCCGUCGUAAUAAACGGAUGGACACAGAAGAGGAGAAAGUGUGGGGGGCUUCUGUCACUAGUCUAAGACCAGUUUUCUUCACUGAAGACAAGCCUAUACACAGCAUGCUGCCAUCGCUAUGCAUCACUAUGGGGAUAAUGUGUUCACGUCUUACAACUGUACCAUUUUUAAGAUUCUUGCAGUUUCUUCUGAAUUGGCUGGUGUCAAACUGCAAACAUAACUUCAUGUGCACAAACCAUUCAGAGCUUCAGUAGUUUUGUUAUGUUGAAGCCUUCCUUUUUGCUAUUCCUCUGCAUGUAAAUUAGCUAUUCUUUGCCACAAUUGCCUUUGAAAAGGCAUGUUUGUUGUGUAGCAUUGUAUUUCGAACUGUCAGAGUAAAAGGAAAGAGGAAAGGGGGGAAGAUUUCUUUUACUGAAAACCGUAUAAACAUUUCCUUCCCCUUCAAAAUGAUGUCAUACAUCUUGUUGGUCUGUCACAUAAAAUCCUAUUAAAAUA
Xiphophorus hellerii (green swordtail) is the source of this 1909-nucleotide long non-coding RNA. RefSeq lists it as uncharacterized. The record is from RefSeq and is a predicted model, not a curated record. Lineage: Eukaryota; Metazoa; Chordata; Actinopteri; Cyprinodontiformes; Poeciliidae. The transcript is spliced from 2 exons.